GCAAACUUAACUGCUGUGCCACUGGGCCGGCCCAAUCGUUUCUCAUUUGUAAAGCUUACCUAAGAAAUAUUCCAGAAUCUCUGGUGUUUCUGUUACAUCAUCUAAGUCCAUUUUCCCGUCCUCGUUGGGCUGGAAGAGCAAUAUAAUACGACCACAGAACCUGCAACGGCAGUGGUAACGAUGGGAAGUUACCGUGAACCAGGCUCUGUUCUGAGCACUUCAUAUUUAUUAAUGCACUUAAUCCUCACGAUGCUAUGAGAUCUCACGGCUGAUGCCUGGGUGCCCCUCCAGAGGAUGCUCCUGUCCGGGACGCUUGCUCGGGGCUGUCUGGGAAGGAGAGGUCCUCAGAGUCAAGCAUGUCCAACACAGAGAGGAGAUGGAGAGACCUGCUGUUUUAAGAUUUCUCAAGCACCCAUGCUGUGUCAGGCACUACACCGAAAAGGGACUCAGACGUGGCAGCAGAUGUGGGCUCUGUCCUCAGGAAACUCUGAAUCUACAGGAAAAGAGAAGACAUGAGCCAGAUCAUCAAAUACAAGGGCAAAACCCUCGCCUGCGGGGAGAGCUGGAGAGGAGGAGUCACCCCCAUUUGCGGAGCCACCGGAGGUCUGGGAGGGAUGGUAAACCUGUUUGUUUCUUGCCCAAGAAUGCUGGCCGUGGACACUAGAGAGGGCCAUCUCAGACCCGGUCCCCACGAUAGUGUCUGUAAAUUGGCUUAGGGACGAAAACAAAGGACGGACGACAGCAUCAAUCAGGAGCUCACAGGGCAGGAGGUGUCGGCUCAAGUAUUUAAGGGUUCUCUGCAAGGGACAGGGACGCAGGAAUGUGGGGUGUGGGAGACCGCAAAACCAAGAAAUCAGUUCAGCAUCUCGUCAGCACUUCUCUCUCUUCUUAGCGUGUUACAACUCCUCCUGAAUUGAUGUCCCCAACUGCUGUCUCUCCCUGGCCUUUUCUAUCCUCUGCAGCAUCAGGAGGCCAAAUUCCCCAGAUAAUGCUUAGCUCACGUUACUCCUCUUCUUACAGACUUUCAAUAGUUCCAUUGAAAACAAAGUCAAAGUUCAAUGGGCAUCCUAAGUCAUUUCAGCUGCAUUGGUUUCAACAAGCCCUUCAAGGGAUUCUGAGGCCAGCGAAGCUUUGUGAAUUAUUCCCAUACGGCUUGUCUCUUCCCCCGAGAUCCCUCCCUGACACAUCCUUCUCUAACCCGCCCGCGUAGCCCCUCAGCUCAGAGGCUAGCACACAGCAGGUGUUCCAAAACUCACGGAAAGGUGACAUGUAUCUUCUGAGCAAAAGCUGCUUGUCAAGAGGAGUGCCGGGUGCGGUGGGGAACGGAACAGAAUUAGAUGUGUCGCCGUGCAUUUGUUUAGUCUAUUGGAGACAAAAUUAACACAUGCAGCGAGUGAGAAUAACGAAGUGCUAGUCGGCAGGGUACAGCUCCUAAAAGCAACAUGAGCACAGCGAAGGGGCAGAGGCCUGGUGGUUUAAUUGCAGGUCCUUGUCCGGCUGGAGUGUUCCCUCACAGUGCCUGUUUAUUCUCUAUCCGUCCAGGAGUAAGCGGCCAGCGAACCGGGGGGAAAAGGAGGAGGACCACGGGAACAAUCCCAUUACUACUUAUAGUAACAAUAGCUGACGUUUCUGCGCUGCCACUAUGUUGUCACGCACUAUUCUCAGCAUUUUAUAUAUUUACUCAUUGAACCCUCAGAACAACCCAAAGAUAGGUAUCAAGGAGAGGUUGAAGUUGGGGAAAUGGAUUUGGAAGUCGUUGCAAUGUGCCAGGUAACCCAAUGGAUGAUGCUAUUAACCGACUUUACAGAGGUGGAAACUGAGGCACAGAGAAGUUAAGCAAGAUUCUACUGAUUUGAAGCGCCAGGUUUGAACCCAUCUGUGCACUAAGGGGGCUGAGAAGGGAGAGUGCGGAAUGGGAUUUUAGACCAAACAGGGAAACUCUUGGUGUCUCCAGCAAUAUCCUCGACCCUAGAACAUUCUCUUCAUUUCUUCCUUUUCUUCAUCACAUAAGCUAUGGAACAACUAAGUCCUGUAGCUUUUUUUCCAGCUAGAUUUUAAAAACAGACGCACAGAGAGUUACAGUUCAGUGUGAUCCCACGGGGCCCCUGCUUUGGGGACUCGCAGUAACUAAGUUUUAUGCCAUCUCCGACUUACUGUGUGACCUUGGGGCCAGCCACUUGCCCUCUCUGUGUCUCAGUCCCCCGCGGUGGGAUCAUAAUAUCUACCGCCAAGCAGUGCUCGGAGCAUGAAUGAAUUAUUAUCCUGGACGCCCUCUGAGCUUCUGGGACAAAGGUGCUAUGUUAAUACACAGUAUCGCUCUUCUUCUUCUUCUCAUUAGUAUUAUUCAAACCCAGAUGGCAUUAUUAUUGUUGUUGAUUGACAGCCCCGCAUAGCCCCAUUCACGGGUGUCAGAGAGCCAGGCGGCAGUUAACACAAGCAAAAACCAUGUUUCAAACAAAGCCCAAGGAACACUCCAAUAGUGUGUGCCAUGGGCUGCUAUUAAAGCCGGGGCAGCUGCGGUGGCAACACGGAGGGACAGGGCAAGGCAACGCCCGGAGCACAAAGAGGGGAGAGCGGGUCUUGACACUGAUCAUAUAAUCGUGCUGGGCUUUUAUAGACACUGGGAGGCCUCAAACAGAAUAACUGCUUGAACUUGAUCCACGGUUUACAGGCAGCGGCUGUAAAGGUCUUUGUUGCUGUUGCUGCCAUGUUAAUGACCCAGCUUGGGGCGCCGCCGGCCGCUCCUUCCAAAGAAAACAGAUCCGAGUGAGUCACUCAAUGUCCAGCAAUGAGUUUUCCAUUAUAGAAAAAUAAGUAUAAAUCUUUCCCAGUUGGGCGGCCAUACUGCGACGUCGGAGGCUGGCAAAGGGGUCAAGGUAGCUAGACGCUUUGACCCCCUGAACCAGCAGGCAGAGAAAGAGGUGCCUUCUCUUCGUUAAUCGCAAAAUAAACAGAUAAAAAUAAGCCGUGGUGUUCCGGCUCUGUGGACAGUGUUUGCAGCAAACGAGAGAGGAUGAGAGGCAGCUGGGGAGGAGAAUGGAGGCCCUUGAUGUGGGUCUCUAUUACCUCUUCCACUCUGCCCAGGCUGAUAAAACUCCGUGAGUAAUUGACCCUCCACAAGCAGGCGCAUUAAUCUUCGGCUGCAGGGCAGCCUUGAAACAUCAGAGAAGGCCAGUUAAAGUGGUAUCUUGGGCAGAUACAAUUUAGUGCCUUGGAGGUUUUAAAAAAUAAUUGUCCAUAAAUAUUCUGAUUGUCUUAAGAGAA
Long non-coding RNA from Equus quagga, 3264 nucleotides. RefSeq lists it as uncharacterized. The transcript is spliced from 4 exons. NCBI's taxonomy places the organism in Eukaryota, Metazoa, Chordata, Mammalia, Perissodactyla, Equidae. The record is from RefSeq and is a predicted model, not a curated record.